This 253-nucleotide ribosomal RNA is filed under the name uncultured bacterium. RNAcentral's name for it is "partial 16S ribosomal RNA". It matches the Rfam family "Bacterial small subunit ribosomal RNA", at positions 524 to 776 of the family's 1533-position model. The record is from RNAcentral.
UACGAAGGGGGCUAGCGUUGCUCGGAAUCACUGGGCGUAAAGCGCGCGUAGGCGGAUUGGUAAGUCAGGGGUGAAAUCCUGGAGCUCAACUCCAGAACUGCCUUUGAUACUGGCGAUCUCGAGUCCGGGAGAGGUGAGUGGAACUGCGAGUGUAGAGGUGAAAUUCGUAGAUAUUCGCAAGAACACCAGUGGCGAAGGCGGCUCACUGGCCCGGUACUGACGCUGAGGUGCGAAAGCGUGGGGAGCAAACAGG